Molecule: long non-coding RNA, 591 nt
Filed under: Bos taurus (domestic cattle)
Lineage: Eukaryota; Metazoa; Chordata; Mammalia; Artiodactyla; Bovidae
Description: long non-coding RNA NONBTAT000203
Source: RNAcentral
AAAUACUUGUUUAAGAUUUGAUUACAAUUCUUAAGCAUUAUUUAUUAAAGACAUGUAUAUAUACUUAACGUGAGAUAGUAUUCCAAAAGAAUCAUAACAUUACUAUACUAAAAUCUGAAGUACAUUUAAAUCCCCAUUAACUUCUAAACCCUCAUACGGGCCUUCCACGCACGGGAUAAUGUUCUUUUGCCUAUAAUGAAGGGCAGGGUUUCUCUCCUUCUGUACCACAGAAAGCCGAGGAAGCAGAUGUCAUCUUUGUUCUUUGACACCAGCGCUUAACAGUGUACUCUUGUAAAUCAGACUGCCUCUACCAUGCAUCACCGCUUCAGAUUCAUUACCUAUAACCCAGAGAACUGCUAAAGACAAAUAAAUCAAGGAUUGCUUUUAUUCCUCCCCACUUUAUUGACAUCACUUUCCACAUGUAACACAACAAGGCUUCACCUCCCUGAUAUUACUGAACUGUUCAUAGUACUACUGGAAUUUUCAGACAUACAUACUAACCGAUAAGGUGACAAUCAAUCCGAUUAGCUAUGCAAAGAUAAAAGGUGACCACAAAGAUAGGUAAAAGCUAUUAUAUGACCUGUUGUGGAC